Molecule: ribosomal RNA, 253 nt
Filed under: uncultured bacterium
Lineage: Bacteria
Description: partial 16S ribosomal RNA
Rfam family: Bacterial small subunit ribosomal RNA
Source: RNAcentral
UACGUAGGUGGCCAGCGUUAUCCGGAUUCACUGGGCGUAAAGCGCGUGCAGGCGGUUCCGUAAGUCGAGCGUGAAAGCUCCUGGCUUAACUGGGAGAGGUCGUUCGAUACUGCGGGACUUGAGGUUGGGAGAGGGACGUGGAAUUCCCGGUGUAGUGGUGGAAUGCGUAGAGAUCGGGAGGAACACCAGUGGCGAAGGCGGCGUCCUGGCCCACACCUGACGCUGAGACGCGAAAGCGUGGGGAGCGAACGGG